RNAcentral lists this ribosomal RNA (1013 nucleotides) under Desulfobacteraceae bacterium enrichment culture clone MS_ANT_N1. RNAcentral's name for it is "bacterial SSU rRNA". It matches the Rfam family "Bacterial small subunit ribosomal RNA", at positions 48 to 1031 of the family's 1533-position model. Lineage: Bacteria; Pseudomonadati; Thermodesulfobacteriota; Desulfobacteria; Desulfobacterales; Desulfobacteraceae. The record is from RNAcentral.
CUUACACAUGCAAGUCGUACGAGAAAUCUUCAGCUUGCUGAAGAGAGUAGAGUGGCGCACGGGUGAGUAACGCGUGGGUAAUCUACCUUCGAAUUGGGGAUAACAUUGCGAAAGCGAUGCUAAUACCGGAUGAUAUCCAUUUGGCUUCGGUCAGAUGGCUCAAAGAUGGCCUCUUCUUGAAAGCCAUUGUUUGAAGAUGAGCCCGCGUACCAUUAGCUUGUUGGUGGGGUAAUGGCCUACCAAGGCAGCGAUGGUUAGCUGGUCUGAGAGGAUGAUCAGCCACACUGGAACUGACACACGGUCCAGACUCCUACGGGAGGCAGCAGUGAGGAAUUUUGCGCAAUGGGGGAAACCCUGACGCAGCAACGCCGCGUGAGUGAUGAAGGCUUUCGGGUCGUAAAGCUCUGUCAAGUGGGAAGAAACCACAGGAUGUUAAUAUCAUCUUGUUUUGACGGUACCACUGAAGGAAGCACCGGCUAACUCCGUGCCAGCAGCCGCGGUAAUACGGGGGGUGCAAGCGUUAUUCGGAAUCAUUGGGCGUAAAGGGCGCGUAGGCGGCCUGUUAAGUCAGAUGUGAAAGCCCGGGGCUUAACCCCGGAAGUGCAUUUGAAACUAAUAGGCUUGAGUAUGGGAGAGGGAAGUGGAAUUCCUGGUGUAGAGGUGAAAUUCGUAGAUAUCAGGAGGAACACCGGUGGCGAAGGCGACUUCCUGGACCAAUACUGACGCUGAGGCGCGAAGGCGUGGGUAGCAAACAGGAUUAGAUACCCUGGUAGUCCACGCAGUAAACGUUGUUCACUAGGUGAAGCGGGUAUUGACCCCUGCUGUGCCGCAGUUAACGCAUUAAGUGAACCGCCUGGGGAGUACGAUCGCAAGAUUAAAACUCAAGGAAUUGACGGGGGCCCGCACAAGCGGUGGAGCAUGUGGAUUUAAUUCGACGCAACGCGAAGAACCUUACCUGGAUUUGACAUCCUGGGAAUCCUAUCGAAGACUGGAGUGCCCUUCGGGGAGCCCGG